AAAUCUUAACUAAAUUUAAAUUGCAAAUUUAAAUAAGGACGUUAUGUCUAAGAUUUC
This 57-nucleotide transfer RNA is filed under the name Dermacentor auratus. RNAcentral describes it as "tRNA-Cys". The record is from RNAcentral. Lineage: Eukaryota; Metazoa; Arthropoda; Arachnida; Ixodida; Ixodidae.